RNAcentral lists this ribosomal RNA (329 nucleotides) under uncultured eukaryote. Its description in RNAcentral is "partial 18S ribosomal RNA". It matches the Rfam family "Eukaryotic small subunit ribosomal RNA", at positions 1470 to 1796 of the family's 1831-position model. The record is from RNAcentral.
CCCUUAGAUGUUCUGGGCCGCACGCGCGCUACACUGAUGCAUUCAACGAGUCUAAAACCUGCUCUGAUAGGGGUGGGUAAUCUUUUGAAUGUGCAUCGUGAUUGGGAUAGAUGAUUGCAAUUUUUCAUCUUCAACGAGGAAUGCCUAGUAAACGCAAGUCAUCAGCUUGCAUUGAUUACGUCCCUGCCCUUUGUACACACCGCCCGUCGCUCCUACCGAUUGAAUGAUCCGAUGAAUAUCAUGGAUUGAGGAUGCAAGUAGGUUCGCCUAUCUUCAUCUUCGAGAAGUGAAGUAAAUCUUAUCAUUUAGAGGAAGGAGAAGUUGUAACA